Molecule: microRNA, 21 nt
Filed under: Schistosoma mansoni
Lineage: Eukaryota; Metazoa; Platyhelminthes; Trematoda; Strigeidida; Schistosomatidae
Description: sma-miR-2e-5p
Gene: sma-miR-2e-5p
Source: miRBase by way of RNAcentral
UACCAACUUUGACUGAGUUAU